AGACCGCCAUGGUGACUUGCAAGCAACUCACUGCACUUAGACACUGGACUACCUGAAUUUCUAAUUCAGUGAUGGAAGGCUGCUGAGUGUAGUCAAGUACUUGACUUGUUGGUGCGUGUGUCAAAAUAGGAUUGACCACUCUAGUUCAAGAGCUGUGUACAGUCGUGUUUCAAUUUAGCAAAACCUUAGCCAGGGUAGUCCUAGUGAGGAGUCAUAGGACUGUUUGAGUUGAGCAUGAUUCGGAUGAUCUGAUCAGGGUUGACAGUUUAACUCUGAGUCAUCCUAUACACAAGGGUUAAAAGGGAUGAGUUAUACAGUAACCACAUUCACGUAGAUUCUGAAUGUUGCAAUUACAACUAUUCGACCUAUCCGGACAUCAGGUACCAUUGCUAGAUGGUCACUUCGAUUAGUACAGGAAUUGGUUCCUGUGCUACCGGCUUAGGUUCA
This 447-nucleotide long non-coding RNA is filed under the name Elaeis guineensis (African oil palm). RNAcentral describes it as "long non-coding RNA (EGUI_LNC063474)". Lineage: Eukaryota; Viridiplantae; Streptophyta; Magnoliopsida; Arecales; Arecaceae. The record is from RNAcentral.